RNAcentral lists this ribosomal RNA (300 nucleotides) under uncultured Dietzia sp. RNAcentral's name for it is "bacterial SSU rRNA". It matches the Rfam family "Bacterial small subunit ribosomal RNA", at positions 497 to 795 of the family's 1533-position model. Lineage: Bacteria; Bacillati; Actinomycetota; Actinomycetes; Mycobacteriales; Dietziaceae. The record is from RNAcentral.
UCAAUGUUGUGCAAGAGGCCGCGGGAAUGGAGAGUGUGCGAGAGUUAAUCGGAAGUACUGGGCGUGAAGCGUGGGUAGUUGGCUCAUGAAGGCACAUGUGAAAUCGCCGGGCGUAACCUGGGAACUGCAUGUGAUACUGGUGGUGCUAGAAUAUGUGAGAGGGAAGUAGAAUUCCAGGUGUAGCGGUGAAAUGCGUAGAGAUCUGGAGGAAUACCGAUGGCGAAGGCAGCUUCCUGGCAUAAUAUUGACACUGAGAUUCGAAAGCGUGGGUAGCAAACAGGAUUAGAUACCCCUGUAGUC